GAUGAACGCUGGCGGCGUGCCUAAUACAUGCAAGUCGAGCGAACGGACGAGAAGCUUGCUUUUCUGAUGUUAGCGGCGGACGGGUGAGUAACACGUGGAUAACCUACCUAUAAGACUGGGAUAACUUCGGGAAACCGGAGCUAAUACCGGAUAAUAUUUUGAACCGCAUGGUUCAAAAGUGAAAGAUGGUCUUGCUGUCACUUAUAGAUGGAUCCGCGCUGCAUUACCUAGUUGGUAAGGUAACGGCUUACCAAGGCAACGAUGCAUAGCCGACCUGGAAGGGUGAUCGGCCACACUGGAACUGAGACACGGUCCAGACUCUUACGGAGGGAAGCGGUAGGGAAUCUUCCGCAAUGGGCGAAAGCCUGACGGAGAAACGCCGCGUGAUGGAUGAAGGUCUUCGGUUCGUAAAACUUUGUUAUUAGGGAAGAACAUAUGUGUAAGUAACAGUGCACAUCUUGACGGUACCUAAUCAGAAAGCCACGGCUAACUACGUG
This 497-nucleotide ribosomal RNA is filed under the name uncultured bacterium. Its description in RNAcentral is "partial 16S ribosomal RNA". It matches the Rfam family "Bacterial small subunit ribosomal RNA", at positions 28 to 507 of the family's 1533-position model. The record is from RNAcentral.